This 466-nucleotide ribosomal RNA is filed under the name uncultured bacterium. RNAcentral describes it as "bacterial SSU rRNA". It matches the Rfam family "Bacterial small subunit ribosomal RNA", at positions 329 to 795 of the family's 1533-position model. The record is from RNAcentral.
GGCCAGACUCCUACGGGAGGCAGCAGUGGGGAAUAUUGCACAAUGGGGGAAACCCUGAUGCAGCGACGCCGCGUGAGUGAAGAAGUAUUUCGGUACGUAAAGCUCUAUCAGCAGGGAAGAAAAAAAGUCCUUUGGACUUUGGACGGUACCUGACCAAGAAGCCCCGGCUAACUACGUGCCAGCAGCCGCGGUAAUACGUAGGGGGCAAGCGUUAUCCGGAUUUACUGGGUGUAAAGGGAGCGUAGACGGCAGCGCAAGUCUGGAGUGAAAUGCCGGGGCUCAACCCCGGAACUGCUUUGGAAACUGUGCAGCUCGAGUGCAGGAGAGGUAAGCGGAAUUCCUAGUGUAGCGGUGAAAUGCGUAGAUAUUAGGAGGAACACCAGUGGCGAAGGCGGCUUGCUGGACGAUGACUGACGCUGAGGCUCGAAAGCGUGGGGAGCAAACAGGAUUAGAUACCCCUGUACUU